UGCGCCUUGCCAGCCCGCUCAGAAACUUAAAGGAAUUGACGGGGGCCCGCACAAGCGGUGGAGUAUGUGGUUUAAUUCGAUGCAACGCGAAGAACCUUACCUGGUCUUGACAUCCCGGAGACCCUUAGGAAACUAGGGGGUGCUUCCAUCUGGAAGAAUCUGGAGACAGGUGCUGCAUGGCUGUCGUCAGCUCGUGUCGUGAGACGUUGGGUUAAGUCCCGCAACGAGCGCAACCCUUGCCUUUAGUUGCCAGCAGUUCGGCUGGGCACUCUAAAGGGACUGCCGGUGUUAAACCGGAGGAAGGUGGGGAUGACGUCAAGUCCUCAUGGCCUUUAUGACCAGGGCUACACACGUACUACAAUGGCCGAUACAAAGGGCAGCGACACUGCGAGGUGAAGCCAAUCCCGUAAAAUCGGUCUCAGUCCGGAUUGGAGUCUGCAACUCGACUCCAUGAAGUUGGAAUCGCUAGUAAUCGUGGAUCAGCAUGCCACGGUGAAUACGUUCCCGGGCCUU
Molecule: ribosomal RNA, 513 nt
Filed under: uncultured Desulfobulbus sp.
Lineage: Bacteria; Pseudomonadati; Thermodesulfobacteriota; Desulfobulbia; Desulfobulbales; Desulfobulbaceae
Description: bacterial SSU rRNA
Rfam family: Bacterial small subunit ribosomal RNA
Source: RNAcentral